AUAUGACGAUGGACAUUGCAAAGAGUGGCGAACGGGUGAGUAACACGUGGGAAACCUACCUCUUAGCAGGGGAUAACAUUUGGAAACAGAUGCUAAUACCGUAUAACAAUAGCAACCGCAUGGUUGCUACUUAAAAGAUGGUUCUGCUAUCACUAAGAGAUGGUCCCGCGGUGCAUUAGUUAGUUGGUGAGGUAAUGGCUCACCAAGACGAUGAUGCAUAGCCGAGUUGAGAGACUGAUCGGCCACAAUGGGACUGAGACACGGCCCAUACUCCUACGGGAGGCAGCAGUAGGGAAUCUUCCACAAUGGGCGAAAGCCUGAUGGAGCAACGCCGCGUGUGUGAUGAAGGGUUUCGGCUCGUAAAACACUGUUGUAAGAGAAGAAUGACAUUGAGAGUAACUGUUCAAUGUGUGACGGUAUCUUACCAGAAAGGAACGGCUAAAUACGUGCCAGCAGCCGCGGUAAUACGUAUGUUCCAAGCGUUAUCCGGAUUUAUUGGGCGUAAAGCGAGCGCAGACGGUUAUUUAAGUCUGAAGUGAAAGCCCUCAGCUCAACUGAGGAAUUGCUUUGGAAACUGGAUGACUUGAGUGCAGUAGAGGAAAGUGGAACUCCAUGUGUAGCGGUGAAAUGCGUAGAUAUAUGGAAGAACACCAGUGGCGAAGGCGGCUUUCUGGACUGUAACUGACGUUGAGGCUCGAAAGUGUGGGUAGCAAACAGGAUUAGAUACCCUGGUAGUCCACACCGUAAACGAUGAGUGCUAGGUGUUUGAGGGUUUCCGCCCUUAAGUGCCGCAGCUAACGCAUUA
Molecule: ribosomal RNA, 805 nt
Filed under: Weissella cibaria
Lineage: Bacteria; Bacillati; Bacillota; Bacilli; Lactobacillales; Lactobacillaceae
Description: bacterial SSU rRNA
Rfam family: Bacterial small subunit ribosomal RNA
Source: RNAcentral